Molecule: long non-coding RNA, 629 nt
Organism: Clupea harengus (Atlantic herring)
Lineage: Eukaryota; Metazoa; Chordata; Actinopteri; Clupeiformes; Clupeidae
Source: Ensembl
GCUCCUCAGGUAGACUUUGAGGUUUCGAAACAAACGGUGUAAAAUCUCUGGGUUUCUUUUCAGCCACAGCAUAUAUUUAUAUAUUUAAUGUUACAUCUGUUUUAAACAAUAGCUGUGUAGUUGAGGUAAACACAGCUGACAGCGAACGAAUUUUGCGGUUGUGAGGAUUAGCUAGCAUUUGCUAGAUGUCUUCUGGAUAGCGGGAAUAGCCAUAGUUUUCUUGUGAAAAUAGUUUAACAUAACAAGCUGUCAAAUAACUGAAUGUAAACGGUCGCUGAAUAAAGUUUGAAGUUUUCUCCAGUUAAAAUGGCGGACGAAGAUGUUAUGGAUAGUUUGGAUAACCUUUUAAUACAGUUAGCUCUGCAGACUCGAGAAUUAUCUGUUAAAAAAGAUGAUCUACAACGGCAUGUUCAAGAAUGCAAAGCUAAUAUUCAACAGAAGAAGACCCACAUCGAAGAGAGCAAGAAGAAUAUUGACAAACUUGACGAGCAGAUUACACAGAAACAGAAGACAGUUCAGCAUUACAAAGAGAACACUAAGGGCCUGAAAAGGACUCAUGGCUUGUUACUGCAGUAUGAAAAAGUCCUGGAGAGCGAACUGGAGCGCAGACAAGAGAACUGCAAUCGGGA